This 275-nucleotide ribosomal RNA is filed under the name uncultured prokaryote. RNAcentral describes it as "partial 16S ribosomal RNA". It matches the Rfam family "Bacterial small subunit ribosomal RNA", at positions 524 to 798 of the family's 1533-position model. The record is from RNAcentral.
UACGGAGGAUCCGAGCGUUAUCCGGAUUUAUUGGGUUUAAAGGGUGCUCAGGCGGGACAUUAAGUCGGCGGUGAAAUUUUGCGGCUCAACCGUAAAAGUGCCUUCGAAACUGGUAUCCUUGAGUGUAGAUGAAGUAGGCGGAAUUUGUGGUGUAGCGGUGAAAUGCAUAGAUAUCACGAGGAACUCCGAUUGCGCAGGCAGCUUACUAAACUACUACUGACGCUCAGGCACGAAGGCGUGGAGAUCAAACAGGAUUAGAUACCCCGGUAGUCCCU